RNAcentral lists this ribosomal RNA (468 nucleotides) under uncultured bacterium. Its description in RNAcentral is "partial 16S ribosomal RNA". It matches the Rfam family "Bacterial small subunit ribosomal RNA", at positions 28 to 507 of the family's 1533-position model. The record is from RNAcentral.
GACGAACGCUGGCGGCGUGCUUAACACAUGCAAGUCGAACGGAAAGGCCCUGCUUUUGUGGGGUGCUCGAGUGGCGAACGGGUGAGUAACACGUGAGUAACCUGCCCUUGACUUUGGGAUAACUUCAGGAAACUGAGGCUAAUACCGGAUAGGAGCUCCUGCUGCAUGGUGGGGGUUGGAAAGUUUCGGCGGUUGGGGAUGGACUCGCGGCUUAUCAGCUUGUUGGUGAGGUAGUGGCUUACCAAGGCUUUGACGGGUAGCCGGCCUGAGAGGGUGACCGGCCACAUUGGGACUGAGAUACGGCCCAGACUCCUACGGGAGGCAGCAGUGGGGAAUAUUGCACAAUGGGCGGAAGCCUGAUGCAGCAACGCCGCGUGCGGGAUGACGGCCUUCGGGUUGUAAACCGCUUUCGCCUGUGACGAAGCGUGAGUGACGGUAAUGGGUAAAGAAGCACCGGCUAACUACGUG